UACGAAGGGGGCGAGCGUUGUUCGGAAUUACUGGGCGUAAAGGGCGCGUAGGCGGCGUCUCAAGUUAGAUGUGAAAGUCCUGGGCUUAACCUGGGGACUGCAUUUGAUACUGGGUUGCUUGAAUUCGGGAGAGGAUAGCGGAAUUCCCAGUGUAGAGGUGAAAUUCGUAGAUAUUGGGAAGAACACCGGUGGCGAAGGCGGCUAUCUGGACCGACAUUGACGCUGAGGCGCGAAAGCGUGGGGAGCAAACAGG
Molecule: ribosomal RNA, 253 nt
Filed under: uncultured bacterium
Lineage: Bacteria
Description: partial 16S ribosomal RNA
Rfam family: Bacterial small subunit ribosomal RNA
Source: RNAcentral